This 719-nucleotide ribosomal RNA is filed under the name uncultured Actinomycetes bacterium. RNAcentral describes it as "bacterial SSU rRNA". It matches the Rfam family "Bacterial small subunit ribosomal RNA", at positions 28 to 755 of the family's 1533-position model. The record is from RNAcentral. Lineage: Bacteria; Bacillati; Actinomycetota; Actinomycetes.
GACGAACGCUGGCGGCGUGCUUAACACAUGCAAGUCGAACGAUGAAGCCUAGCUUGCUAGGUGGAUUAGUGGCGAACGGGUGAGUAAUACGUGAGUGACCUACCUUUGACUCUGGGAUAAGCCUGGGAAACUGGGUCUAAUACCGGAUACGACCAAUCUCCGCAUGGGGUGUUGGUGGAAAGCGUUAUGGAGUGGUUUUAGAUGGGCUCACGGCCUAUCAGCUUGUUGGUGAGGUAAUGGCUUACCAAGGCGACGACGGGUAGCCGGCCUGAGAGGGUGACCGGCCACACUGGGACUGAGACACGGCCCAGACUCCUACGGGAGGCAGCAGUGGGGAAUAUUGCACAAUGGGCGCAAGCCUGAUGCAGCGACGCCGCGUGAGGGAUGACGGCCUUCGGGUUGUAAACCUCUGUUAGCAUCGAAGAAGCGAAAGUGACGGUAGGUGCAGAGAAAGCGCCGGCUAACUACGUGCCAGCAGCCGCGGUAAUACGUAGGGCGCGAGCGUUGUCCGGAAUUAUUGGGCGUAAAGAGCUUGUAGGCGGUUGGUCGCGUCUGCUGUGAAAGGCUGGGGCUUAACCCUGGUUUUGCAGUGGGUACGGGCUAACUAGAGUGCAGUAGGGGAGACUGGAAUUCCUGGUGUAGCGGUGGAAUGCGCAGAUAUCAGGAGGAACACCGAUGGCGAAGGCAGGUCUCUGGGCUGUAACUGACGCUGAGAAGCG